Molecule: non-coding RNA, 3867 nt
Organism: Rattus norvegicus (Norway rat)
Lineage: Eukaryota; Metazoa; Chordata; Mammalia; Rodentia; Muridae
Source: RefSeq, a predicted model, not a curated record
UGGAUGUUUGUCUGAGUGUUUCUGUGUGAGCGGCGCCGCAUUUGUCAGUCUGUGUCUGUCUCUGUUUUGGUUCCGCCGUGUGUGUAUAUAUGUGUGUCUUAGUACUGGUCUGUGGUAAGAGGGCAGAUGGGUAUUCCUGCCCUGUGGUAAGAGGGCAGAUGGGUAUUCCUGCCCUGUGGUAAGAGGGUGGAUGUGUAUUCCUGCCCUGUAGGAGAGUGGAUGUGUAUCCCCACUCAGUGCAGCUGCCUUUGUGGUCCGUGAGGACCCCCUGGCUGCGGAAGGGGGGACGCCCCGGGCCCGCAAGGCUGCAGCCCCUGGAAGACGUUCCACGGGCGGAGAACAGUCGGGAGAGCCCGGCUAUGGACAGUCAGGAGGACCUGACUCUGGUUUUCUGGAACAAAGGAGAUGGAAUGCUCCUUUUACCUAGGCGGAAGUGGACGAAGAAUCCCACUCCGUCAGAGGUCGAGUUCGGCUGCCUAUUUAAAUAUAGGCACGGACAAGUGUGCUUAGUCGUUAGGACAAGAGGACACUCUGGAAUCCUGUUGGGAGGUGGAAUCAGAUGGUCCAUCUCAUCCCAAAAGCAGCUAAGGUUAAGCUGCAGUUUGGGCCACGUACUGAAGGUACCAGGCAUCUGUGAAAGUUGGUUAUAAGAUGCUUUGUCUUGAUAUUGUUUGUCUGGCUUGUUUUCUGUGGUAUUGUCGAGUGUCUUUUUGGCUUUUGUUUCGUUUUUGAAUUUUGGACUGACGACUGUGUUCGAAUUUGGACUGACGACUGUGUUUAAAAUCUUGGACUGAUGACUGUGUUUGAAAUCAUGAAACUGUUUGCUUUGUUCGUCAAAGAGUUUUACUUGGUCCUCUUGGUGCUUAAGUUAAGAGUUAAAAAUAAUUUGUUUGAGAAAAAUUGUUUUCUGCCAGGGAGUUUUGUCUUUCUCUCUUGAGCCUCCUCUCCAAGGAGAGAGGCGCCACCCUUUACUCCCCUUGAUCAGCCUAGCUGCUGUUAACAGUUGUGUAAACAGACAUUAACAAAAACCUUGAGGACAAAACUGCUCGUAAAUAAAAAAGUUCCCCAGAUUAGGCCUCCGGUAUAAAACAAGUGUAGUGAGUAAGAAACUUAAUUUUAUGGACCCCGCUCUAGUGGCGGUGUGUUGGUUGAUAGCCAAUGUUAAGUUUUUAAAACAUAGUGUUUUAUCUGUGCUUGUGCUUGAAACACACAGUAGGGGGGAGCGAAAUUAGCUGCGGAGCUGCUGCAGCGAGCAUGGGGACUUCUCAAGUCUCUCCCAAUUUUUCUGGCUCUUCAGGAGCUGUUUAAAAGAAAAAGGCUUAAGGUAAAAAGAAACACUAUAAAAAGAUUUCUUAGUGAAUUACUACACCUUGGUUUGCGAUCUCUGGGAAUCUCAUGGUGGACAGCUGAGAUAAGCUAGAAAAGGAUUUAAAUUUUGCUUAGAAACAAAGAAUCUUAAAGGUAGAGUUUCAGCCGGUAUGACACUUAGUACAUAGCUGCCUAAAAGAUCAGAAAUGCUGUCAACAGGCUAUAAAAAAGGGACAGGCUGUGUUAAAAAUGCUACAUAAAGAAUAAUCUAAAAAGGCUGAGAGUGAGGUGGGAGAGGACUCUAAAGAAAACAAGAACAAGAAAAGAAUUUCUGCUUUUAGUGGCCAGACCUUCAACUCUUGCUCACAGAAAGAGAGUGCUCAUUAAGAAAAGUUCUUUAGGGAGCCUGCCUUAUCUGCUGGCCCUAUUCCAAGAGAGGAGUCAGUCUCCAACAUUAAAUUACUUUUCUCACUGGUCAUCAUUAGCAUGGAGAAUGCCUUUGAUCCUAUCCCCACAGCAGCCAGUUCCUGCCCCUGUGGUAGAAAUGUCCCAGGUUGGGGGGCAGAGAAGCCCCUAAAAUAGUUUCAAAGAAUCUACAACAAACUGUAAAGAACUUUGUUUUGUUUUGCCAGUUUGAAUUUAGAAUUCAGGCUUUGGCUGUGGCCGAGGUCAGGAUUAAUGUUUUCGUUUCCAUGGGCCCUUAGCCCACUGAGACAGUUUGGUAAAGGACUACUACUACAGUCCUGAUAUUCAGAGACAUGGAGAGAGCUAUAGUUUUUUUAUUAAAGGCUAAAAGACCUACAGGUGAUACAGAAAGAAAUCUGCUCACAGCUGACAGCAGCCUAUGCCCCGGAGACCCCUGAGACAUCCCAUCAGUUCCAGGUCGGAAGCAGCUACACUGAGCCCAGACACUCGAUCCUCGCUGGAAAGGACCAUACCUGGUGCUGCUGACCACCCUGACAGCCGUCAAUUCUCAGCCCUCACCAGCCGUGUACUAGCUGUUAGGGCUGAGAGCUGGGACCUAGAGAGAAAUUCAGUCAUGUUUGUCCUGGGUUCCAUCGAGAUAGGUGUGGGGAUAGGCUUGAUUUCUAUUACAAAUGAUGUAACAUUACAUAUGUUAGUACUCCUAACACUUCUUGGGACUGUGCCUCAGGGAUCACAACCUAUAUAAGUUUAGAAGUUCUGAAAGACAGUCAUGACCUUGGUGUAUAGGUUCAGAUAGUGUCCAGAUUGAAAUCCUGAUGCUAAAGACUUAGUAAGAGACAAAAAAAAAAGAGUUGAGAAUUACUUAGGGCUAGGGCUAUCUAGGUGCUACAAGGGCAGCACAAGGACAUCUGCUGUUGCCCUACAAUACAAGGCUUAUAGAGAAUUCAGAACUGCCAUUGACUCAGAUAUAAAAAGAGUAAAAGACUUUUUAGCUGACCUCCAAGAAUACCUAACCUCCCUCUCAGAGGUAGUCCUUCAAAAUAAAAAAAGAUUAGACCUGAUAUUCCUUAAAGAAAGAGUCUGUGUGCUAUACUAAAAGAAAAAUGUUGCUUCUAUACAGACCAUUCAGGAGUAAUUAAAGACUCCAUAAAUAAACUUAGAAAAAGGUUAGACAAAAGACAGACAGAAAAACACAUCAGAGAUAGUUCGAGAGCUAGUUUAGUAGAUCUCCCUGGAUGACUACCCUACUCUCUGCUACAGGUGGGCCAUUAUUAAUAAUUUUCUUGGUUUUAGUUUUUGGCUCCUGCGUGACAAACAGGUUAAUUACUUUUGUUAAAAAUCGAGUGGGUGCUGUGCGGUUGAUGUUGUGAGACAACAGUACCAGUCAGUUAGGACAACUGGUGAGACCAAAUACGAGACUUGAUAUCAAAAUUCUAAGAUUAGAAUUAUUUAGUAGGAGAAGACGGGAAUGAAAAGAAAAUUAUACGAAUUCUAGGUUUAAAAAUAUAAAAUUAAAAGAGUUAGCCCCAAAAGCCACAAACUCAGGGCUAAGCCCUGCCGCCAGGAAUAGCAGGCCAUAAAGAUAAAGAAAAGGAAUACAAGAACCAGCUCAGGCUAUCGAGGACUGAGCCAUAAACCAUCCAAAGACAUCCCCCCAGCUUACUCAGAGUCAUACUUUAACCAGAUGUCCUCCAGACCCUGAUAAGCCCCUACUUGUGCUUUUCAGCCAUUGUGUCCUACAGAGAGCAUUCCAGGAAACCGGACAGCCCAAGCCUAACCAGAGGUGUUUCAAAUACAAAUGCUCCAUCAGUUUUGACAAACGUUUAAAAAUAAUGAGGACCUGAAGACCCUACCCUUCUCCUGAUUUAGUAGCUCUGUUCCAGGAACCAGGGGGCCAUAAAACCUUCUGGCGUCCCCUUAUCUCCUGGAGCCAUAAAACAAUCCUGUAACUUGUGGUGCAUUCCCCUUUGACAUCCCCCAUCCCCUGGUGCUCACAGCCUCUGCCUUUAAAUACUCUUUUUCCCAGCCUCUCGGGGCCGACACCUCUGUCUCCUGCGCGGGAUAUGUGUCGGCCCGGAGAUCUCUGUAAUAGGUCUCCGUAAUAAACCUCGCCUUUGCUUAUUACAUCCAAAA